CUCUACACACAGGGUUAUCUAUGGAGAGGUGUAUAAUACUGACCCCUCUACACACAGGGUUAUCUAUGGAGAGGUGUACAGUACUGACCCCUCUACACACAGGGUUAUCUAUGGAGAGGUGUAUAGUACUGACCCCUCUACACACAGGGUUAUCUAUGGAGAGGUGUAUAGUACUGACCCCUCUACACACAGGGUUAUCUAUGGAGAGGUGUAUAGUACUGACCAAUCUACACACAGGGUUAUCUAUGGAGAGGUGUAUAGUACUGACCAAUCUACACACAGGGUUAUCUAUGGAGAGGUGUAUGGUACUGACCCCUCUACACACAGGGUUAUCUAUGGAGAGGUGUACGGUACUGACCCCUCUACACACAGGGUUAUCUAUGGAGAGGUGUAGUGGUGUAUAAUACUGACCCCUCUACACACAGGGUUAUCUAUGGAGAGGUGUACAGUACUGACCCCUCUACACACAGGGUUAUCUAUGGAGAGGUGUAUAGUACUGACCCAUUUACACACAGGGUUAUCU
Molecule: non-coding RNA, 523 nt
Organism: Oncorhynchus mykiss (rainbow trout)
Lineage: Eukaryota; Metazoa; Chordata; Actinopteri; Salmoniformes; Salmonidae
Source: RefSeq, a predicted model, not a curated record